UACGGGGGGGGCAAGCGUUGUUCGGAAUUACUGGGCGUAAAGGGCCAGUAGGCGGCCAACUAAGUCCGACGUGAAAUCCCAAGGCUUAACCUUGGAACUGCGUCGGAUACUGGAUGGCUUGAAUUCGGGAGAGGGAUGCAGAAUUCCAGGUGUAGCGGUGAAAUGCGUAGAUAUCUGGAGGAAUACCGGUGGCGAAGGCGGCUUCCUGGACCGACACAGACGCUGAGGCGCGAAAGCUAGGGGAGCAAACGGG
Molecule: ribosomal RNA, 253 nt
Filed under: uncultured bacterium
Lineage: Bacteria
Description: partial 16S ribosomal RNA
Rfam family: Bacterial small subunit ribosomal RNA
Source: RNAcentral